Bubalus bubalis (water buffalo) is the source of this 1903-nucleotide long non-coding RNA. RefSeq lists it as uncharacterized. The transcript has 2 exons. The record is from RefSeq and is a predicted model, not a curated record. NCBI's taxonomy places the organism in Eukaryota, Metazoa, Chordata, Mammalia, Artiodactyla, Bovidae.
GUAAUGCUCUCCAUUAUUUAUAUGCCAAUGAUAACAUCCAACAUUGUUUAAUUUUAACAGAAACAGGAAACAUGACUUUGGUUCUGAUAAUGUUUUCAUGGGAGGCGGAGGAAGAAAUACAAUGAGUAGACAAAUUUUUUGGUACCAAGUGAGAUGCUAGCCAUGAUUUUUUCCUCUGAUGAGAAUGGUGCUUUAUACCUUUACAUGCCAACUAAUUGGAAAAAUAUUCCUACAAUACUGUAUCUAGAUUUGUUAUAAGAGAACUGGAAAUGAUGAGGAUCAGUGAGAGACCAUGGGCAUUAUUGGGAAUGCAUAUUAUAGUGGAUAAGGGCAAACUAGAGGCAAGUGGCUUGGGUGAGAAUCUGGCUUUUAGCUCUUCUGGCUGUUGGACCUCAUAAGUGCUUUAAGCCUCAGUUUUCUCAUCUGCAAAAUGGGGAUGAUAAUAGGAGUCCUAGUUCCUAAGUUUGCAGCAAAGAUUUUAAAAAGGGAGUACAAGUAAAGCUCUUAGAUCAAGGCCACAUAUGCAAAUAUCUUCUGAAGCCAAAGUACACAAACCCAAGAGCAUUGAAUCAAAAGGUGUGUGAAUCUCUGAGAUGGGAAUAAUGGGAACAGAAGAAGCUAUAUAAUAAGAUGUUAUGAUCAGAAAUAAAAUGAGACAUGUUUUGACACUUAAUGACAUUCUAAAAAAUUAGGUGGCAAGGAGAUGCACACAUGUGUCUGCAGAAAAUGUGGUGAGGAGGUGGGGGGAGGGUUGGGCAAGGGAGAUCAAUCUCACAGCUUUCAAUUAGCAGCCCGUGGGUGGGAGAGAAGACUGAAGUUCACAGGGAAGGAACUGGCUGAUAUUAUUAUUAUUUUUUGAUGCAGCAUUCCAGAAAACAUAAUCAAUGGCAUCCGUCCAGUUCCCAUUUAGUAACCAAAGAAGUAGCUGCAGCUGUUUUUUGUGCCUGGUGGUGCCAGUUUGAUAGUGUAUAAUCAUAUUUGCAUAAAGAUAAAAAGGAAGGUGUUAUAGAACACAGUUAAGCCUAUGGUUUCACCAUGAAUUAAAGGUAAUUUCAGACUAAUUAGGUAUAAUUUGUUAAGGAAUUCUUCCCAGCCAUGAUGACUCUGAUUUUGUAAUUACAGGACAAUGCUUACUGUGGCUUUCAAGGCAGGGGAAGCACACCCGAGGGGGUCGUGUCCCACACUAGGAGGGUCUAAUGGUGCCGCAAAAGACAGGUGUUUUGUCAGAUUUCAGCCACACACUUUCACACCUGCAACGCAUUAGCCACAGCAGCAACAUUAAUGAAGGCCAGGUGCCUGUUUUCUAGCUCAAAUGAGAAACUGGCAGGAAGUUUGCUGUUUGCUACCUGAGGGCUACCUCGGUCUCUGAAAGCCGGCCUUCUGGGUGACGGAGACGCUGAGCAGGGUGGUCCUUGGUGGAAAGUAGUGUGUCCUGUGUUUGAGAGUGGCUGAAGAUGUGGAGAAGGAAAUGGCAACACACUCCAGUAUUCUUGCCUAGAGAAUUCCAUGGACAGAAGAGCCUGGUGGGUUGCUGUCCAUGGGGUCGCACAGAGUUGGACACUACUGAAGUGACUUAGCGUGCAUGCAUGCGUGAAGAUGUGAUAAACCACUUCCCAGUACCAAAAUAAAGGGAGCCGGAAUGGAAAAACCAGGCCUAAUAUGCUAUUGAAUUUCACAUGAUUAUUUCAACUUUCUCUUUGUGAAUUAUCUGAAAAUUGAAAAGAAUUUUUAAGUAGAAAAAACUUUAAUUUGUAUUCCAUUUAUGUUCCAUUUUAACAUGGCAUCAUUUUGAUGAAUUUCCCCAUCCAGAUGGAGUCAUUCAUUUCUAGGAAAGAGAAAGGAUGGAUUGGGCUCAUGCUCAGUCAUCCAUUCAUUAUUUUUUCCCUUAUAACACAAAACCAAA